GGUUCCAUAGUGUGGUGGUUAUCCCGUCUGCUUUAUACGCAAAAGGUCCUGGGUUUGAGCCCCAGUGGAACCA
Molecule: transfer RNA, 73 nt
Filed under: Ornithorhynchus anatinus (platypus)
Lineage: Eukaryota; Metazoa; Chordata; Mammalia; Monotremata; Ornithorhynchidae
Description: tRNA-Ile (TAT) (tRNA-Ile-TAT-5-1)
Rfam family: tRNA
About the family: Transfer RNA (tRNA) molecules are approximately 80 nucleotides in length. Their secondary structure includes four short double-helical elements and three loops (D, anti-codon, and T loops). Further hydrogen bonds mediate the characteristic L-shaped molecular structure. tRNAs have two regions of fundamental functional importance: the anti-codon, which is responsible for specific mRNA codon recognition, and the 3' end, to which the tRNAs corresponding amino acid is attached (by aminoacyl-tRNA synthetases). tRNAs cope with the degeneracy of the genetic code in two manners: having more than one tRNA (with a specific anti-codon) for a particular amino acid; and 'wobble' base-pairing, i.e. permitting non-standard base-pairing at the 3rd anti-codon position.
Source: Rfam by way of RNAcentral